Molecule: ribosomal RNA, 521 nt
Filed under: uncultured bacterium
Lineage: Bacteria
Description: bacterial SSU rRNA
Rfam family: Bacterial small subunit ribosomal RNA
Source: RNAcentral
AGGACGAACGCUGGCGGCCGUGCCUAAUACAUGCAAGUCGAACGGUCUUUCUAUGGAAGCUUGCUUCCACUGAGAAGAUAGUGGCGAACGGGUGAGUAACACGUGGGUAACCUGCCCAUAAGAGGGGGAUAACAUCCGGAAACGGGUGCUAAUACCGCAUAGUUUUCUUGAUCGCAUGAUUGAGAAAGGAAAGACGGCCUUUGUGCUGCCGCUUAUGGAUGGACCCGCGGCGUAUUAGUUAGUUGGUGAGGUAACGGCUCACCAAGACGAUGAUACGUAGCCGACCUGAGAGGGUGAUCGGCCACAUUGGGACUGAGACACGGCCCAAACUCCUACGGGAGGCAGCAGUAGGGAAUCUUCCGCAAUGGACGAAAGUCUGACGGAGCAACGCCGCGUGAGUGAAGAAAAGGUUUUCGGAUCGUAAAACUCUGUUGUCAGAGAAGAACAAGUUGGAGAGUAACUGCUCCAGCCUUGACGGUAUCUGACCAGAAAGCCACGGCUAACUACGUGCCAGCCGCUGC